UUAUUGUUUACGUUUUCUCAUGCCGUGUCACAGUUUGAAGGUUUGAAGGAAUUGUUGCUGAUUUUGGACAAGAUUUAAGCCCGUAGAUUUUCUUCUCUUUAGUUUAUCUUCUCAUCAUGGAAAGCAUCGGCGUAGCAUCAGUGUUUGACCCUCAGCACAACAGUCGCUUCAUCAGAACCUUCCACGAUUACUUCAACAACCAGACUUUGGCCGAUGUGUGCUUUAUUUGUAAAGAUGGGCAAAAAGUAAGAGCUCAUCAAAUGGUUCUUGGUGCAGUCAGCAAACUUUUGAAGAAGCUUUUAUUAGAAUUUGCUGGAACCAUGGAAGAAAUUGUCAUACAUUUACCAGAUGUUCCUUCAUCAUCCUUGAAGCAAGUCUUGUAUCUUUUGUACGAAGGCAACACGCAUUUGGUCGGUGAAGAAGAAUAUAAAGAAUUCAACUCUCUUCUUAGACUUCUCGGCAUCGAACCGGAUAAUUCAAAUACUUCAUCGAGGCAAGAGCUUGGAGGCAAUAAGCAGCCACACUUAAAUCCGUCAAUGGAUGAAUCGAGAGUGAAUUCUCAAUUCUCCUCACCACAGCAUCCUGCGAAUGUUAUCGAUCAUUAUCCUAAUAUGAAUCAGUCAACACCAAGCGGUCCCCCCAUUCAACAACAAAUGCCGCUUCAAGGAAAGGUAAAUCUGCCUGGACCAAUGAUUGAUCACACACACUCAGACCCAGGCGGCAGAAUAUUCAAAUCUAAUAAAAGGAAACAAACAGAAGACCCAAAUCCAGGUGGAGCGAAAUCUCAAAAUAUCAAAACUGAACCUCCAAGCAACGAUAUUCAAAAUGCCCCUCAAAUAUCAACAUCACACACAGGCCCUCAUCCAAAGACACAUCAAAUUACAGAUAACAAAAGUUCUGUCUCCAAUAAAAUUCCGACUUGA
Molecule: long non-coding RNA, 923 nt
Filed under: Bemisia tabaci
Lineage: Eukaryota; Metazoa; Arthropoda; Insecta; Hemiptera; Aleyrodidae
Description: lncRNA ENSASIAIIG005633
Source: RNAcentral